GGAGAUUAGAGAUGAUAAAGAUGACGGUGGCGGUGGCGGUGGUUGAGGGUGGCUGGAGAGAUGAUGAACGAAGAAGAUAAACAGAGUGUGCGGUGGUGUGUGAGUGAUGAUCGAAGUGGAGAAAGGGUGGUGAACGAUGAUGUUGAUGACUGGAGGUUCGAGAGACGGUGACAGGAGAUGAAGACGAGGACAAAGGAGAUCGGAGGUGGUGGUUAUGGAGGUCCCUACGAAGGUGGUGGUCGUCGGUGUGAUAAGUUGCAGGUUGGUCGGAGACGGCGGAGAUGAUAUUGAUGAUGAACAGUAACGAUGAUGAUGAAGAUGGUGAGAUGAUGGUCGACGGAGAUCAACGGAGAAGAUAAACAGAGUGUGCGGUGGUGUCGGAAGAGAUGACGGAUGGAUUCGGAGACGGUGAUGGUGGUGAAAACGGAGAAGAUGACGAAAGUAGAUGAACGGAGGUGAAGUUCGAAAUGACGAUUCCGGAUGAAUGAAGUGAUGAAUACGGUCCGAGAUGACGGUUCCGGAUGAUUUCGGAUGAGAUGAUGUUGGAUGGAUUGACGAUUACAGAUGAUUACCAAGAGGUAGAUGAAUGAAUGAAUGAUGAACUGGAUGUGUUUGAACAAGUAUUUCGGAUGGUUUUGUGUUGAUUACGGAUGAAGAAGGUGCGAUGUCGGAUUAUUACGGAUUAGAUGAUGAUUUCGGAUGAAUGAUAUGAAGAAGAUCCGAAAUGAUGAAACUGACAGUUGAUGAUGUACGAUGAUUUGAUGAUGUCUGAGAUAGUGAUUGUUAAGGAUAAAGAUGAAUGAAUGAAGAUGAAUUGAU
Molecule: long non-coding RNA, 819 nt
Filed under: Helianthus annuus (common sunflower)
Lineage: Eukaryota; Viridiplantae; Streptophyta; Magnoliopsida; Asterales; Asteraceae
Description: hypothetical non coding rna
Source: RNAcentral